UCCCAGUGGGGGGAAAAGUCAUGUGUAUCUUCUCUCUCAUCCUAGUCCUAGAGCCUGUGAAGGUGAACCCACUGGGGCUGGCUUGGGGGAGAAGCGAGAAAGUUCCAGAAGGAACUGCCUUAGAGAU
Pipistrellus kuhlii (Kuhl's pipistrelle) is the source of this 127-nucleotide small nucleolar RNA. RefSeq annotates it as small nucleolar RNA SNORD22. The transcript has a single exon. Lineage: Eukaryota; Metazoa; Chordata; Mammalia; Chiroptera; Vespertilionidae. The record is from RefSeq and is a predicted model, not a curated record.